UCGCUCAGGUCUCUCCUCAGCUUCCACGCACUAAUCUUUCGCCUUUUACUAAAGAUUACCGUGGGGAGGGACACUCCAAUGAGCCUAUAGGCCAAUUUUUGGGAGGCCUUACCCGUUUGGGUGAGG
RNAcentral lists this small nuclear RNA (126 nucleotides) under Rhipicephalus microplus (southern cattle tick). Its description in RNAcentral is "U5 spliceosomal RNA". It matches the Rfam family "U5 spliceosomal RNA". Rfam says of the family: U5 RNA is a component of both types of known spliceosome. The precise function of this molecule is unknown, though it is known that the 5' loop is required for splice site selection and p220 binding, and that both the 3' stem-loop and the Sm site are important for Sm protein binding and cap methylation. Lineage: Eukaryota; Metazoa; Arthropoda; Arachnida; Ixodida; Ixodidae. The record is from RNAcentral.